AUUCUAAAUGUUUGAAGAGUACAGGGGCUAAGAUCAUAUUUUAACCUAAAACAAUAUAUCCCCUAGGGUUUUGUUGGGAGCGUAUAUAAUCGUUGAAUAUCACAGAAAUUAGGGUCUGGAGCGUGCUCUGUUGUCUGGGUUUCAACUAGCUUCAAUCGAAAAUGCCGAAGCAAAUUCAUGAGAUCAAAGACUUCCUUCUCACCGCCAGAAGGAAAGAUGCACGCUCGGUAAAGAUCAAGAAUAGCAGAGAUGUAGUUAAGUUCAAGGUCCGUUGCUCCAAGUACUUGUACACACACUGCGUUUCUGAUGCCGAGAAGGCUGAGAAGUUGAAGCAGUCCCUUCCUCCAGGUUUGAGUGUCCAAUACCUGUGAAAAUAGGGUUGCACCAAGUCUAUCAUUCAACUUCUAGGCUAAAUAGAGUUUGAUUCUAAGUUUUAUUGUAUUUUAUGUCAUUUUACAUUCAAACUCAGCAAAAGUUUCUGUAAUGGAUUUAUAUUUUUGGUGUUUCGGUGAUCUGUGCACUUUUUGAUGAU
Long non-coding RNA from Hibiscus syriacus, 532 nucleotides. RefSeq lists it as uncharacterized. The record is from RefSeq and is a predicted model, not a curated record. NCBI's taxonomy places the organism in Eukaryota, Viridiplantae, Streptophyta, Magnoliopsida, Malvales, Malvaceae. The transcript has 3 exons.